This 253-nucleotide ribosomal RNA is filed under the name uncultured bacterium. RNAcentral's name for it is "partial 16S ribosomal RNA". It matches the Rfam family "Bacterial small subunit ribosomal RNA", at positions 524 to 776 of the family's 1533-position model. The record is from RNAcentral.
UACAUGGGGUGCAAACGUUGCUCGGAAUUAUUGGGCGUAAAGCGCACGUAGGCGGUUUGUUAAGUCGGAUGUGAAAUCCCUCGGCUCAACUGAGGAAGUGCAUCCGAAACUGGCAGGCUUGAGUACUAAAGAGGGUCGCGGAAUUCCCGGUGUAGAGGUGAAAUUCGUAGAUAUCGGGAGGAACACCGGUGGCGAAGGCGGCGCUCUGGACCGAGACUGACGCUGAGGCGCGAAAGCGUGGGGAGCAAACAGG